UCUUCUCCGGCUCCGGUUUCUACUUGAAAACCCAGCAGAUCUGAGGAGGUGUCGAAGCUGGCUGUAGCCCAGCCGAAUCGCCGUCGGCCGCCGUCGCCGAAGCUCGCCGCUACCACCGUCGUCCGCGCGAAGCCCGCGCCCGCGCGCCGCUCCGCCCGCUUCGCCCAGCUCGUCGUCCCGAGCUGCUGUUCAGCUCGCGCAAGAGCUACCGGAGCUCAUUUGUCGCCGCCAUGAACCGCUGUUCGUCGCCGCCAACCACCGCCGUAGCUCCUCUGCCCACUCCCGACCCCAACCAGCCCCGGAUCUGCCCUCCUUCGCCCCCAACCAGCAGCAAACAGAGAAGAAGAAAAUGGGUAUGGCAGCCCCUUCGUGGGCCAUUUUGGCCGCCUUCCCAAGCCCGGAUACUCGGCCCGCUUUGAGGAAAGUCGAUCAUCGCGUUGUCCUCGUCGUUUUGGUCCGCUCGGCUCGCUAAUCCGGUGAGUUUAACUCACUAAAUCUUGAUUAGAGUGUUAAUGAUGCC
Molecule: long non-coding RNA, 520 nt
Filed under: Eucalyptus grandis
Lineage: Eukaryota; Viridiplantae; Streptophyta; Magnoliopsida; Myrtales; Myrtaceae
Description: long non-coding RNA (EGRA_LNC005402)
Source: RNAcentral